CCCAUUAGAAGCCAGGAGCACUACCUCAUUGUGAUGACAAAAAUGUCUCUGGACAUUGCCAAAUUUCUCCCUGGUUAGGAAAAAUCAUGCCCAGCUGAGAACCAUUGGACCCAUCACUCAAUAGGUUUUGGUACAAACUUAAGAGAAUAUCAUCAUUCCUAUGGUUUCACAUGGUGCUUAGCAGCAUGAUUCUAGUGACCAACAUCUCAUCGAAUCUAUGGGUUAUUUAACAAUGUUGGAGACUCGACAUCCAGGUGGUGGCUGGUCUGGAAGAAAAGACACCUCAGCACUUAUUCUGCAUGGCCCAGGAGUAAAAGCCUCACGCAGGUGGCUGCGAUUGGAAUGAAGCAGGCCCCCCGCCCCUCCCUGCAGACAGCACAUUCUCUGGUCAAUCCACCCAUCCCUCCUCUGCCCACGACCCACCAAGGAGGAGGCUUUGCUCUUAGGGAAUACAGGUGAAGAAAACGAUUGCAUUUCCUUUUCCCAAAUUAAAUCUCCAA
Canis lupus familiaris (dog) is the source of this 500-nucleotide long non-coding RNA. RefSeq lists it as uncharacterized. NCBI's taxonomy places the organism in Eukaryota, Metazoa, Chordata, Mammalia, Carnivora, Canidae. The record is from RefSeq and is a predicted model, not a curated record. The transcript has 3 exons.